CCCACACCCUGCCAAUGCCCCGCCCCGCUCACCCCAGCUCCUUUCUCCAGCAGCCUCUGAACUGCAGUGGGUAAUUUUUUCUGGGUUUCAGUUAAUAAAGGAUUUGCAGGCAUAGAGUCAGUAAAUUCCUUGAGAAAACAGUCCAAGACUCUUUUGUACAUCCAGAAGUGGGCAUCAAGCAAUGAUAUUUGGAUGAAUAACAAUGAGUGGAUGAGUACACUGGAGAAUGGGAAAGCCAACCUUGAGAAAUGCCUCUUGGGACCUUCGCAUUUGGCUAUUUACAGAGCACAUGUGAUGACAAACAGGUUCAUCUAGAAAACUUGAAGUUGCCCAGCUGAUACCACCUGACUCUGCUACUCUUGUUAGCAUGCUGUCUUUAAUUUUUAGAAGUUUUCCCUCCAGUUAAUGUGGAAUAUGACAAAUCCCAGUUUGGCUUUCUGAAGUCACAGAAAAUAAAGCUUGCACCAGUGGAAUAAUGGUCUCCUCCAAGGAAGUAGAGCUCACACAGACUGGGAGGAAGGACGAAUCUAGAGGCGGAUGUGAUCUGCAAGCUAUUUGCACGGAAAUGGACGGCGCGGUUCUCAGGAGGAAAUGCAGAUAAUAUAACGCUAGAUAUAGAAAGACAGAAAAUUUCAUACGCAAUAUGAUCUCAACGUUAGAAAAAUAUACAUGGCAUAAAAGAAACUUGUAAAAUUUUAAAUAAAAUGUUAAUAUUGCUACUUUAGGUGGAAAAAAGUAACUUUUUCUCAAUGUUUUAAUAAUUUUUCAAAGUUUUGAAACACUAAAAAUAAUAAACAAGUACACUUUUUGUUUUUAAGAGUUUUCUUGCUCUCUUCUUAAUCAGACAUCAGACUAUUACCAAACAUCAUUAAAAAUUAGCAUUAGACUGCCUUAUGUUGACAACCCAUAAUUUACUUCAUCAUUCCUAUAUUAAGCAUUUGACUUGUCUCCAGUCAUUAAUGUAAUGACUCUGUGAGGAAAAUAAUC
This 987-nucleotide long non-coding RNA is filed under the name Equus caballus (horse). RNAcentral's name for it is "lncRNA (ENSECAG00000048867.1)". The record is from RNAcentral. Lineage: Eukaryota; Metazoa; Chordata; Mammalia; Perissodactyla; Equidae.